GCGAAUGUGGCUUAGUGGUAGAGUGCUUGCUUGCCAUGCAUGAAGUUCUAGGUUCAAUUCCUCAGUACCA
RNAcentral lists this transfer RNA (70 nucleotides) under Dipodomys ordii (Ord's kangaroo rat). It matches the Rfam family "tRNA". Rfam says of the family: Transfer RNA (tRNA) molecules are approximately 80 nucleotides in length. Their secondary structure includes four short double-helical elements and three loops (D, anti-codon, and T loops). The record is from Rfam by way of RNAcentral. Lineage: Eukaryota; Metazoa; Chordata; Mammalia; Rodentia; Heteromyidae.